GCUUUGAGGUAGUUAUAUUGGGAUUUGAUCAGUUGCCUGAAAUCCUGGUCUGCCGACAUUAUUGCAAUGUCUAGGAGGGUAAGAGAGUAAAAUAGUUUUAGAAGUUUGUAUUUAAAUGCUAAAUAAUCAGAUUAAAUCUAGCGAACUUGGAGGCGUUAGGCCUGUCUGGGCCACCCGCCUCCAAAAAGCCUGUCUGGGCUUGGUUCGCAUCUCCCUCCCAUGUCUCCUCCCCAUCGAGACAGGAAUGAGACAUCGGAGGGAGCGAGUUAUAAAUUACAUUCAAAAACAAGCCUCUAAAAAGGAUCCUGUGCGUAAAAUGGUAUGUCAAGUCCGAUGGCUCUGGCAAAGGUUAGGUUUUGAAAAAUUACAACAGCUCCCCCCGACCUAGCACCCGUCUAGGAAGGUUUGGAGUAGGGAGACUGAGGAUGCGUGCAAGGGCCUACGCCUGUUAGACUAUACCAGGAAAGCAUUGAUCCAUCUCCUUUCCAGGAGAAUAGCCUAUUUGGGCAUUGGGCUGAGAAUGUGGAGGACCAGGAGGUAGGGAGAUUGAGAAAAGGAUAUUCCUGUUGGUUUUGUUUUGUUCCCUUCUAAGAGAUUAGCCUAACUGGGCGUUGGAUAUUCGGUUUGGGAAGGCUAGGUUUCAGGUCCAUAAGUCUACGAACGGUAGGUUUUGGGUAAGUGUUGGUUCAGGGCUAGAUUUAGAUCUUUUUAGCGACGAGGUUGUUGUUGUUUAUUUGAUCUAUCGAUGUUGAUUUUGGUAGGCAGACUUUGCCAUGUUAGAUCUGAAAGUCAACUGGAUCUGGGAAAGCAAAGUUUUUGGCUGAACUUGCUCCGGACCAGCGAAUCAAACUGCAACUCGAAAGUCACUGCCCGAUAAUCCUGAUCCAGCAUCACGUUCCGUCAGCGACUGCUGCUCGAAGUCGAGGAAGAUUUGAGAUCCGAUGGUUUGCAUGUAAAACUAUAUUCUU
Molecule: long non-coding RNA, 968 nt
Organism: Sinocyclocheilus rhinocerous
Lineage: Eukaryota; Metazoa; Chordata; Actinopteri; Cypriniformes; Cyprinidae
Exons: 3
Source: RefSeq, a predicted model, not a curated record